ACGCUCGACACCUACGGGAGGUAGCAGUGGGGAAUAUUGCACAAUGGGGGAAACCCUGAUGCAGCGACGCCGCGUGGAGGAAGAAGGUCUUCGGAUUGUAAACUCCUGUUGUUGGGGAAAAAGAGGAUGGUACCCAACAAGGAAGUGACGGCUAACUACGUGCCAGCAGCCGAGGUAAUCUGAGCGGGCUGGCAAGGC
This 198-nucleotide ribosomal RNA is filed under the name uncultured bacterium. RNAcentral's name for it is "partial 16S ribosomal RNA". It matches the Rfam family "Bacterial small subunit ribosomal RNA", at positions 328 to 539 of the family's 1533-position model. The record is from RNAcentral.